AGCGAACGCUGGCGGCGUGCUUAACACAUGCAAGUCGAGCGAAGGUGUUUCAAGGGUAACCUUGAGAUACACUUAGCGGCGGACGGGUGAGUAAUACGUGGAUAACUUACCUCUAGGCCUGGGAUAACCCCGGGAAACUGGGGCUAAUACCUGAUAAGACCACAUUGUCUACGGACAAAGGGGUAAAAGGUGGCUGUGCAAACAGCUAUCGCCAAAAGAUAGGUUCACGUCCCAUCAGGCAGUGGCGAGGUAAUGGCUCACCAAACCAAAGACGGGUAGCCGGCCUUGGCGGGUGAACGGCCACACGGGGGACUGAGACACGGCCCCGACUCCUACGGGAGGCAGCAGUGGGGAAUAUUGGGCAAUGGGCGCAAGCCUGACCCAGCGACGCCGCGUUGGGGAAGAAGGCCUUCGGGUUGUAAACCCA
RNAcentral lists this ribosomal RNA (427 nucleotides) under uncultured bacterium. RNAcentral describes it as "partial 16S ribosomal RNA". It matches the Rfam family "Bacterial small subunit ribosomal RNA", at positions 29 to 433 of the family's 1533-position model. The record is from RNAcentral.